GUCUACGGCCAUACCACCCUGACACAUCUGAUCUAAUAUGAUCUCAGAAGCUAAGUAGGGUCUGGUCUGGUUAGUACUUGGAUGGGAGGGAGUGCACACCUUCUGGAGU
RNAcentral lists this ribosomal RNA (109 nucleotides) under Prolemur simus (greater bamboo lemur). The record is from RNAcentral. Lineage: Eukaryota; Metazoa; Chordata; Mammalia; Primates; Lemuridae.